RNAcentral lists this transfer RNA (76 nucleotides) under Pantoea septica. It matches the Rfam family "tRNA". Rfam says of the family: Transfer RNA (tRNA) molecules are approximately 80 nucleotides in length. Their secondary structure includes four short double-helical elements and three loops (D, anti-codon, and T loops). The record is from RNAcentral. Lineage: Bacteria; Pseudomonadati; Pseudomonadota; Gammaproteobacteria; Enterobacterales; Erwiniaceae. RNAcentral also lists the same sequence under 1 other name.
GGCUCCUUAGCUCAGUUGGUAGAGCGGCACGUUGAAGGCGUGCGCGUCGCUGGUUCAAUUCCAGCAGGAGCCACCA